UAGCGUGUCCUGCAUUGCAACGUAAUGACUUGGGGGGACACCUUGGAGGAAAAGGGCACUACCGGAGGGACGACCGACGGGUGAAAGCAGGGGAUCUUCGGACCUUGCGCGAUUGAAUGAGCCGAUGUCCGAUUAGCUAGUUGGCGGGGUAAAGGCCCACCAAGGCGACGAUCCGUAGCUGGUCUGAAAGGAUGAUCAGCCACACUGGAACUGAGACACGGUCCAGACUCCUACGGGAGGCGGCAGUGGGGAAUAUUGGACAAUGGGCGCAAGCCUGAUCCAGCCAUACCGCGUGGGUGAAGAAGGCCUUCGGGUUGUAAAGCCCUUUUGUUGGGAAAGAAAUCCAACUGGCUAAUACCCGGUUGGGAUGACGGUACCCAAAGAAUAAGCACCGGCUAACUUCGUGCCAGCAGCCGCGGUAAUACGAAGGGUGCAAGCGUUACUCGGAAUUACUGGGCGUAAAGCGUGCGUAGGUGGUCGUUUAAUCCGUUGUGAAAGCCCUGGGCUCAACCUGGGAACUGCAGUGGAUACUGGGCAACUAGAGUGUGGUAUAGGGUAGCGGAAUUCCUGGUGUACCAUGAAAAUGCGUAAGAUCAGGAGGAACAUCCAUGGCGAAGCGCUACCUGGACCAACACUGACACUGAGCACGAAAAGCGUGGGGAGCAAACAGAUUAAUACCCCUGGUAGUCCACCCCCUAAACGAUGCAAACUGGAUGUUGGGGUGCAAUUUGGGCACCCACUAUCGAAGCUAACGCGUUAAUUCCUCCUCCCUGGGGGAGUACGGUGGGAGGACGGGAGACUCAAACGAAAUGAAGGGGGCCCCGCCCCAGCGCUGUAUUAUGUUGUUUUAUUUUUAAGCAGCACAAAAGACGCUUACCUUGUAUUGAGCGUCGAGAAAGUUUAAAAAUAUGGAUUUUUUGUUUUUGGGAACUCGAAACAAGGGUGCUGCUGACUGUUGUGUAUUCUUUUUCUUAACAAGUUAGAUAUAAGUUGCAAC
RNAcentral lists this ribosomal RNA (997 nucleotides) under Stenotrophomonas sp. enrichment culture clone VSS4. RNAcentral's name for it is "bacterial SSU rRNA". It matches the Rfam family "Bacterial small subunit ribosomal RNA", at positions 100 to 1093 of the family's 1533-position model. Lineage: Bacteria; Pseudomonadati; Pseudomonadota; Gammaproteobacteria; Lysobacterales; Lysobacteraceae. The record is from RNAcentral.